UUGCAACUUCAACCCUUUACUUUCCAAUUCAAGCUUCAACAAUCAAGCACCCCACAACCACAAGGUAACACCAGCAAUCUUUUCUUUUCAUGCAACAUUUCUCUCUCUCUUUCUUGUUUUUAGUAAACCGUACUUAGUCUGAUCCCUCCCUCUGGCUUGGUUAGAACUUUGCAAAUUGUGGGCUCCAUCUAUUUUUCAGUAAAAUUUCCACUUAAUCUCAUUUUCCUUUUUGGUUUCAUCUAAGAAACAUUUUUCCCAAGAUCUGCAUGAUUGCAUGACCCAUUUGUACUCUUAUGCAGACAAUGAUGAAACUUUCCAAGUUGGGUUUUGAAAUGAAGUGAUGAAUUUGAUAAAUUUGUGUAGAUUGGACUAGAGUAAAGACAAGCAAAAGGUUAGUAUGGGUUUUGUUUGAGGGGAAAAGGGAGGAAUUUGAGACAUAAUAGAGAGGAAAUUUUGGGCUAGUGAAGGUUGAUCGGUUGAUUCGGUUCUAUAAUGGAACAAGGGUUUAGCCAAAACUCAGUUCCUCCUCCAGGUUCCAUUGACAAGUCCAGGAUUUUGGACAUUAAACCUAUGCGGUGUUUGAUACCUGUUUUCCCAAUGUCGUCACAAGCUGCACCCUCUGGGGAGUACCCUUCUGGGUUUUCUCCAUUUUUCCCAUUUGGUGCACCUCAUCAAACUCCCACUGGGGUGGCAGCAGGGGGUGGUGCCAUACCUGCUCCCAUAAGGGCAUUUAGGAGCCCACUAGGGGCAGGAGACACUAGUGCAACAGUGGAGGGUGAUACUUCUGGGAAGAAAAAACGAGGACGCCCUCGCCUCAACAAAUCACCUGAAAAGAAUGAUAAGAUAAGUCAAGAGUCACAUGUUGAUGUAAGUGCUUUAGUUGGUAUUAGUCCAGCUCAGAGAGACGAUGGUAGCCGUGAAGUGGUUAAUCUUGUGCUCAUGACGUUUGAUGCGCUUCGAAGAAGGCUCUGUCAACUGGAAGAAGCCAAGGAAUUGAGCUCAGGUUCAAUCAAGCGUGCGGAUUUGAAAGUUUCAAAUACUUUGAUGAGCAAAGGAAUUCGAACAAACAUGAGGAAGAGAAUAGGACCAGUUCCUGGGGUUGAGAUUGGGGACAUUUUCUUUUUCCGAAUUGAAUUAUGUCUUGCAGGUUUGCAUGCUCCCUCCAUGGGUGGAAUUGAUGCAUUGCAUAUCAGGGGUGAGUUUGAGGAGGAAACUCUUGCUGUAAGCAUUGUUUCAUCAGGAGAAUAUGACGAUGAUGCUGAGGAUAGUGAUGUUAUAAUUUAUACCGGUCAGGGUGGGAACUUCUUCAAGAAAGGUAAGCAUGCAAUCGAUCAAAAGCUUCACAGGGGUAAUCUUGCUUUGGAUAGGAGUUCGCGGCAACACAAUGAAGUAAGAGUCAUCCGGGGCAUGAAAGACGGUGUGAAUCAAAAUGCAAAGAUCUAUGUCUAUGAUGGCCUGUAUAAAAUCCAAGAUUCAUGGAUAGAAAAAGCAAAAAGUGGCGGCGGCAUAUUUAAGUAUAAGUUAGUAAGAAUGGCUGGACAGCCUAGUGCCUUUGCUGUUUUGAAAUCGGUUCAGAAGUGGAAAUCUGGCUCCCCAAGGACUGGACUUACUCUUGCAGACCUUUCUUCGGGAGCUGAGAGUAUUCCUGUACCACUUGUCAACGAGGUUGAUAAUGUGAAGGCACCUGCUUAUUUCACCUAUUUCCAUUCUAUUAAACAUCCAAAAUCAUUCAGUUUAAUGCAGCCUUCGCAUGGAUGCUGCUGUACUAAAGCAUGUAUCCCUGGUGAUUUGAACUGCUCUUGCAUUAGGAGAAAUGAAGGUGACUUUCCAUAUACUGGCAGUAACAUUCUGGUUAGUCGGAAGCCAUUGGUUCAUGAAUGUGGCCCCACAUGCCAGUGUUUUCCUAACUGCAAAAAUCGAGUAUCCCAAACUGGUUUAAAGCACCACAUGGAAGUGUUUAAAACAAAGGAUAGAGGGUGGGGUCUUAGAUCCCUGGAUCCUAUUCGUGCUGGUACUUUUAUCUGUGAAUAUGCUGGAGAAGUUAUUGACAGGGCCAAGGUAAGUCAGCUUGUGAGGGAAGGAGAUGAGUAUGUUUUUGAUACAACUCGUAUUUAUGAUAAAUUCAAGUGGAAUUAUGAGCCUAGGUUAUUGGAAGAAGUGGGUACCAAUGACUCAAGUGAGGAUUAUGCUAUACCAUAUCCUUUAAUUAUAAGUGCCAAGAAUGUUGGAAAUGUGGCUAGAUUCAUGAAUCAUAGUUGCUCCCCAAAUGUUUUCUGGCAGCCUGUCAUAUAUGAAGAAAACAACCAAUCUUACCUGCAUGUUGCAUUUUUUGCCCUCAGACACAUUCCACCAAUGAAAGAGUUAACAUAUGAUUAUGGAUUUGCUGGAUCUGAUCGCGCUGAGGGUAGCAGUGCAUCCAAAGGGAGAAAGAAAUGCUUAUGUGGAUCAUCAAAAUGCCGCGGCUCUUUUGGUUAACAUUUGGUUAAGGUUGCUCAAGACCAGGAAGGUAAUGGCAAUGUAUUCAUGGUUAAAAAGAUGGAUGAUUUAUUUCAAGAGCCAGAUCCAGUUUAGAAAUUCCAGUUAGUGAUUGUAUGCAUCCAAAUCAAGUGUAGGUGUGUUUUUGACUAUAAAUAAAUCAUGUUAGUCUCUGGACCUGGCCCUUUUUUGCCUCCAACUUUAUUAUAAAUAAUCAGUGAAGUCGUGUAAUUUGUGAAAAAAUUGCAUUGGGAAUGGCC
Molecule: RNA transcript, 2735 nt
Organism: Abrus precatorius (Indian licorice)
Lineage: Eukaryota; Viridiplantae; Streptophyta; Magnoliopsida; Fabales; Fabaceae
Gene name: histone-lysine N-methyltransferase, H3 lysine-9 specific SUVH1-like
Exons: 2
Source: RefSeq, a predicted model, not a curated record